CAGGAUAGGUAAUAUGUAACUUAGAUUAAAGCCUCAAAUUCUACAGUGGACGUGAUAUAGCACAAGAGAUUAAAGCCUCAAAUUCUACAGUGGACGUGAUAUAGCACAAGAGAAUAGAAAAAUUUACGUGGUGCCCUUUCAAGAAACUUGAGGGUCUUAUGUAAAGGAAAAUCAGAUGUGGCAACCCUAUUCUUGUCGAAUUUAGUGCUGGUUAGGUUACCCAUACCAUAGGGUUUAAUGUAACACAGUGAGGA
Molecule: long non-coding RNA, 254 nt
Filed under: Trifolium pratense (red clover)
Lineage: Eukaryota; Viridiplantae; Streptophyta; Magnoliopsida; Fabales; Fabaceae
Description: long non-coding RNA (TPRA_LNC001029)
Source: RNAcentral